CACGUGGUGUGUUUCCUGUUCCUGCAACUGCAGUGGAGCCGCUCGCUGUGUGGCAGCGUGUACACACAGGGCUGCAGCAGCUCUCAGUGUCACUCGACCUCGUCAGUGUUUCAGUCCAAAGCAAAGCUGGUGAUUGAUGACGGGACAGGUGAGGCUCACGUCUGGUUCUCAGCUGCUCUGGUUCGUGCUCUGCUGGGAUUGGCUGACGCUCAGUGGGAGGGGCUUCAGAGAGCACUCAGGGUCAGAGGUCACAUCAGAGUCUUCCCUCGUGGGCAGAG
Pelmatolapia mariae (spotted tilapia) is the source of this 278-nucleotide long non-coding RNA. RefSeq lists it as uncharacterized. The record is from RefSeq and is a predicted model, not a curated record. NCBI's taxonomy places the organism in Eukaryota, Metazoa, Chordata, Actinopteri, Cichliformes, Cichlidae. The transcript is spliced from 3 exons.